This 292-nucleotide ribosomal RNA is filed under the name uncultured bacterium. RNAcentral describes it as "partial 16S ribosomal RNA". It matches the Rfam family "Bacterial small subunit ribosomal RNA", at positions 505 to 796 of the family's 1533-position model. The record is from RNAcentral.
GUGCCAGCCGCCGCGGUAAUACGGAGGGUGCAAGCGUUAUCCGGAAUCAUUGGGUUUAAAGGGUCCGUAGGCGGGCAAUUAAGUCAGGGGUGAAAGUUUGCGGCUCAACCGUAAAAUUGCCUUUGAUACUGGUUGUCUUGAAUUAUUAUGAAGUGGUUAGAAUGAGCAGUGUAGCGGUGAAAUGCAUAGAUAUUGCUCAGAAUACCAAUUGCGAAGGCAGAUCACUAAUAAUAUAUUGACGCUGAUGGACGAAAGCGUGGGGAGCGAACAGGAUUAGAUACCCGAGUAGUCC